This is a long non-coding RNA of Cavia porcellus (domestic guinea pig), 751 nucleotides long. RefSeq lists it as uncharacterized. The record is from RefSeq and is a predicted model, not a curated record. The transcript has 2 exons. NCBI's taxonomy places the organism in Eukaryota, Metazoa, Chordata, Mammalia, Rodentia, Caviidae.
AUUUCUCUGUGUGCCUUGCCAAGAUAUUCAUUUCAAAGAAGGCUCUGGCUCCUUCGGCCGCCUUUCCCAGCGCCCACGUGCCUCCCUCCACGGGAUGGAGUUGCACAACUGGUUUUCCAAGCAGAGAACCAUGUUGGGUCCUGAAGAGAAACACAGCCAUCCAGGAUGCUGGCCAGCCAAGAGGUCAAGCAGGCAGUCCUCUAGCUUUCAACCUGGCUCGUCUGCAUUCCAGGCCAGCAGAGGAAGCAGAGGCUACACAAGUGCUCAGUCACCAUGCCAGAAGCUGGGAGCCACCCUCAGCUCGUCUGUUAUCUUACUUGUUUCUGCAAGAGCUCUGACCUCAGCAUGCCGGGCUUUGAGUUCUAUCACGCACUAAAUCCGUGACCUUUUAUAUCUCUGUGUCUCAAUGUAAUUUGUUAUGGUUUAGAUGAAAAAUGUCACUCAGAGACUUCUUGGACUCUUAGGUGGGGCUUUUGGAAAGUGAUUGAGUCACAGGGAUGACGUAACUCACUUGCUGUUAGGAGACAGGAUCCAGUAAGAAGAGGCGGAUCACUUGGGGGUGUGACCUGGGAGAGUGUAUCCCCCUCCCUGGCGCCUCAUUUUUCUAUCUGUUACUUGACGGCCAUGACAUGAGGAUCUUUCCUCUACCCAGGCCCUCUACCAUGCAUGCUACUUCCACCUAGAGGCAGCUGAUCAUGCAGGCACAGAGAUUUCUGGAACCACAAGCCAAAAUAAACCUCUCCUUCUUUAA